RNAcentral lists this ribosomal RNA (301 nucleotides) under uncultured bacterium. RNAcentral's name for it is "partial 16S ribosomal RNA". It matches the Rfam family "Bacterial small subunit ribosomal RNA", at positions 509 to 807 of the family's 1533-position model. The record is from RNAcentral.
CAGUAGCCGCGGUAAAACGAGGGGGGCAAGCGUUGUUCGGAUUUAUUGGGCGUAAAGGGUGCGUAGGCGGUUUGGCAAGUCUUGUGUGAAAUCUUCGGGCUCAACCCGAAGCCUGCACGAGAAACUACCGGGCUUGAGUAUUGGAGAGGUGAGUGGAAUUUCCGGUGUAGAGGUGAAAUUCGUAGAUAUUCGGAGGAACACCAGUGGCGAAGGCGGCUCACUGGUCCAUUACUGACGCUGAGGUGCGAAAGCGUGGGGAGCAAACAGGAUUAGAUACCCGAGUAGUCCCUGUCUCUUAUAC